AGCGAACGCUGGCGGCAGGCUUAACACAUGCAAGUCGAGCGGGCAUCUUCGGGUGUCAGCGCCGGACGGGUGAGUAACGCGCGGGAACGUGCCUUCUGGCUCGGUAUAACUCAGGGAAACCUGAUCUAAUACCGGAUACGUGCUUUUUGGGUAAAGGUUUACUGCCGUAAGAUCGGACGGCGUCUGGUUAGCUAGUUGGUGGGGUAACGGUCUACCAAGGCGACGAUCAGUAGCUGGUCUGAGAAGAUGAUCAGCCUGACUGGGACUGAGCCACGGCCCAGGCUCCUACGGGAGGCGGAAGUGGAGAAUAUUGGACAAUGGGGUGAAGCCAGGUCCGGCCAUGCCGCGUGAGUGAUGAGGGGCUUAGGGUGGUAAAGCUUUUUUAUCCGGGACGAUAAUGACGGUACAGGAGGAAUAAGCCGCGGCUAACUUCGUGCCAGCCGCCGCCGUAA
RNAcentral lists this ribosomal RNA (452 nucleotides) under uncultured bacterium. Its description in RNAcentral is "partial 16S ribosomal RNA". It matches the Rfam family "Bacterial small subunit ribosomal RNA", at positions 29 to 523 of the family's 1533-position model. The record is from RNAcentral.